Megalops atlanticus (tarpon) is the source of this 73-nucleotide non-coding RNA. The record is from the annotation of a GenBank genome assembly. NCBI's taxonomy places the organism in Eukaryota, Metazoa, Chordata, Actinopteri, Elopiformes, Megalopidae.
GCGACCGUGGCUUACGAGGUAGAGCAGUCGACUAAGGGUCGGAAAGUCUCUGGUUCGAAUCUGGCUUCUCUCG